RNAcentral lists this ribosomal RNA (873 nucleotides) under Triticum aestivum (bread wheat). RNAcentral describes it as "partial small subunit ribosomal RNA". Lineage: Eukaryota; Viridiplantae; Streptophyta; Magnoliopsida; Poales; Poaceae. The record is from RNAcentral.
AUGAUGUCCGGCGGUGGCUACUCCGCCCUCGACGAUCCCAAGGCCUCCGGAUCCGUCCCGGCGGCGACGGGGCCAGAUCCGCAGACCAUCAAGUUCACUGAGUCCAACCUCCAGACCUUCCCACCCUCAGAAGCCAAGGGCAAGAUCUCUGGCGCCUACCGCCCGCCCACUGACUCCGACGACACCUUCUCGUCCAAGGUUGGAGGGGGCGGCGGAGGCAGGGGUAGCGAUGGUGGGUCGGACGAUGCCGCGCAGGGCGGCUGGUUCCGGAUGUUCUCCGUAGCUGCCUACAAGCCCUACUUCGACGUUGACACGUCCGAUGUCGUGGAGAGGAUCUGGGAGUCGGUCUUCCCCUUCCGCGGCAACUUCACCGAGAAGACUUCCGACAAACCCGACCUGUAUGGGCCAUUCUGGACAUGCACCACCCUGAUUUUUGUUGCUGCUUCCAUUGCCACGUUUGUCACCUACCUUUCCCACAAAUGGCACAAGAAAGAGUGGACCUAUGAUAUUAACCUGGUUACAUGGUCUGCUGGCUUAUUCUAUGGCUAUGUGACAUUUGUUCCCCUUGGGUUAUAUGUCAUUCUUAAGUACUUCUCAGCACCUGCUGGACUCGUGCAAUUGUGGUGCCUGUAUGGGUACUCUUUGUUCAUCUUCAUUCCAGCCUCGCUUCUGUCAAUUGUGCCAAUAGAAAUAUUCAGAUGGGUUAUUGCUGGUGUUGCUGGGUUUAUGUCUGCUACCUUCGUCGCUGUCAAUCUCCGUGCCCACAUCUUAAACUCUGGGGAGCGGUGGUUUCUGAUCGUUGCAGGGAUAUUCUUGUUGCAGUUGGGAUUGGCUGUUUUGCUGAAACUUUAUUUCUUUACGAUAACUGUAUAG